AAGUCGUAACAAGGUAUCCGUAGGUGAACCUGCGGAUGGAUCAUUUUUGAAGUGUGUUGUGUGAUAUUGAUGGGAAUGGUAUUGGAGGAGUGAUGGUGGUAUGAUAUUGAUGUUGUUGAUUUAGAAAGGAUGAAACAACUUUUAGCAAUGGAUCUCUUGGCUCUC
Molecule: unclassified non-coding RNA, 165 nt
Filed under: fungal sp.
Lineage: Eukaryota; Fungi
Description: partial internal transcribed spacer region
Rfam family: Eukaryotic small subunit ribosomal RNA (bases 1-46)
Source: RNAcentral